CCUACGGGUGGCAGCAGUGGGGAAUAUUGGACAAUGGGCGAAAGCCUGAUCCAGCCAUGCCGCGUGUGUGAAGAAGGCCUUCGGGUUGUAAAGCACUUUCAGUGGGGAAGAAAGCCUUGGGGCUAAUACCCUCGAGGAAGGACAUCACCCACAGAAGAAGCACCGGCUAACUCCGUGCCAGCAGCCGCGGUAAUACGGAGGGUGCGAGCGUUAAUCGGAAUUACUGGGCGUAAAGCGCGCGUAGGCGGUCUGAUAAGCCGGUUGUGAAAGCCCCGGGCUCAACCUGGGAACGGCAUCCGGAACUGUCAGGCUAGAGUGCAGGAGAGGAAGGUAGAAUUCCCGGUGUAGCGGUGAAAUGCGUAGAGAUCGGGAGGAAUACCAGUGGCGAAGGCGGACUUCUGGACUGACACUGACGCUGAGGUGCGAAAGCGUGGGUAGCAAACAGGAUUAGAUACCCUUGUAGUC
Molecule: ribosomal RNA, 465 nt
Filed under: Vreelandella stevensii
Lineage: Bacteria; Pseudomonadati; Pseudomonadota; Gammaproteobacteria; Oceanospirillales; Halomonadaceae
Description: partial 16S ribosomal RNA
Rfam family: Bacterial small subunit ribosomal RNA
Source: RNAcentral